Long non-coding RNA from Ruditapes philippinarum (Manila clam), 600 nucleotides. RefSeq lists it as uncharacterized. The record is from RefSeq and is a predicted model, not a curated record. The transcript has 3 exons. NCBI's taxonomy places the organism in Eukaryota, Metazoa, Mollusca, Bivalvia, Venerida, Veneridae.
CAACACGAUAUAUAGGCUUUUCUUCGAAUCCAGGAUCGACGACACCAACAACAUUUACAGGAGCAGGGACAUAAACUUUUAAGUUAAACGCGAAGUGAUUAUAGUGAUAGACUGACAGUGUUAGUUUAGUGUUACAUAUUACAGACACUUUUUUUUUUAUAAGUGCUGAUUCAGGACAGUUCUGUUAAUUUCUACAUGAUUGAACAGAAAUAUGGUAAUUAUAUGGUACAUGUAACAGUCCAGUGGUCAAGUACAGAUCAACUGAUGUUAUGUUGCAGUAACAUCACAAGAUUGAGAGGAUUUUUGUAUGAGUGUAAUUGAGUCCAAUCCACAAUUGGGCUUGAUCUUCAUAUUGAUCUUCAUAUUGAUAUCUACAUUUGAUACUGAUUAUAUAUUGAUUGGUGCUUAAACAAGUGCUUGAUGUGAAGUUGGGAUGUGACUUUAACCUCUUGGGUUAAAUCUACUGGAAGCUUUAUAUUAAUAUAGUAAUAUACUGAGAUCAUACAAUGAAUGGACAUUUCAAUUAAAAGUAUUGAACGAACUCAGCCUCGUUGAUAUUUAUUCCUUUACAUCUUUAAGGGCAUAAUUUUAACAAAGGUA